UACGUAGGUCCCGAGCGUUGUCCGGAUUUAUUGGGCGUAAAGCGAGCGCAGGUGGUUUAUUAAGUCUGGUGUAAAAGGCAGUAGCUCAACCAUUGUAUGCAUUGGAAACUGGUAGACUUGAGUGCAGGAGAGGAGAGUAGAAUUCCAUGUGUAGCGGUGAAAUGCGUAGAUAUAUGGAGGAACACCGGUGGCGAAAGCGGCUCUCUGGCCUGUAACUGACACUGAGGCUCGAAAGCGUGGGGAGCAAACAGG
Molecule: ribosomal RNA, 252 nt
Filed under: uncultured bacterium
Lineage: Bacteria
Description: partial 16S ribosomal RNA
Rfam family: Bacterial small subunit ribosomal RNA
Source: RNAcentral